GCUGGUGUGAUGUAAUGGUUUAUAUGUUGGACUACGGCUUGGGAGACCAGGGUUCGAUUCCCCACUCGAUCA
Molecule: non-coding RNA, 72 nt
Organism: Phrynosoma platyrhinos (Desert horned lizard)
Lineage: Eukaryota; Metazoa; Chordata; Lepidosauria; Squamata; Phrynosomatidae
Source: the annotation of a GenBank genome assembly